GGUGGAGUGGCCGAGUGGCGAGGCAGCGGCUCGCAACGCCGUGUACAUAGGUUCGAGUCCUAUCUCCACCU
This 71-nucleotide transfer RNA is filed under the name Kitasatospora kifunensis. It matches the Rfam family "tRNA". Rfam says of the family: Transfer RNA (tRNA) molecules are approximately 80 nucleotides in length. Their secondary structure includes four short double-helical elements and three loops (D, anti-codon, and T loops). Lineage: Bacteria; Bacillati; Actinomycetota; Actinomycetes; Kitasatosporales; Streptomycetaceae. The record is from Rfam by way of RNAcentral.